This 920-nucleotide ribosomal RNA is filed under the name Pediococcus pentosaceus. RNAcentral describes it as "bacterial SSU rRNA". It matches the Rfam family "Bacterial small subunit ribosomal RNA", at positions 58 to 929 of the family's 1533-position model. Lineage: Bacteria; Bacillati; Bacillota; Bacilli; Lactobacillales; Lactobacillaceae. The record is from RNAcentral.
CGAGUCGAACGAACUUCCGUUAAUUGAUUAUGACGUACUUGUACUGAUUGAGAUUUUAACACGAAGUGAGUGGCGAACGGGUGAGUAACACGUGGGUAACCUGCCCAGAAGUAGGGGAUAACACCUGGAAACAGAUGCUAAUACCGUAUAACAGAGAAAACCGCAUGGUUUUCUUUUAAAAGAUGGCUCUGCUAUCACUUCUGGAUGGACCCGCGGCGUAUUAGCUAGUUGGUGAGGUAAAGGCUCACCAAGGCAGUGAUACGUAGCCGACCUGAGAGGGUAAUCGGCCACAUUGGGACUGAGACACGGCCCAGACUCCUACGGGAGGCAGCAGUAGGGAAUCUUCCACAAUGGACGCAAGUCUGAUGGAGCAACGCCGCGUGAGUGAAGAAGGGUUUCGGCUCGUAAAGCUCUGUUGUUAAAGAAGAACGUGGGUAAGAGUAACUGUUUACCCAGUGACGGUAUUUAACCAGAAAGCCACGGCUAACUACGUGCCAGCAGCCGCGGUAAUACGUAGGUGGCAAGCGUUAUCCGGAUUUAUUGGGCGUAAAGCGAGCGCAGGCGGUCUUUUAAGUCUAAUGUGAAAGCCUUCGGCUCAACCGAAGAAGUGCAUUGGAAACUGGGAGACUUGAGUGCAGAAGAGGACAGUGGAACUCCAUGUGUAGCGGUGAAAUGCGUAGAUAUAUGGAAGAACACCAGUGGCGAAGGCGGCUGUCUGGUCUGCAACUGACGCUGAGGCUCGAAAGCAUGGGUAGCGAACAGGAUUAGAUACCCUGGUAGUCCAUGCCGUAAACGAUGAUUACUAAGUGUUGGAGGGUUUCCGCCCCUUCAGUGCUGCAGCCUAACGCAUUAAGUAAUCCGCCUUGGGGAGUACGACCGCAAGGUUGAAACUCAAAAGAAUUGACGGGGGCCCGCACAAG